This 219-nucleotide ribosomal RNA is filed under the name uncultured bacterium. RNAcentral's name for it is "partial 16S ribosomal RNA". It matches the Rfam family "Bacterial small subunit ribosomal RNA", at positions 15 to 216 of the family's 1533-position model. The record is from RNAcentral.
GAUCAUGGCUCAGGAUGAACGCUGGCGGCGUGCCUAACACAUGCAAGUCGAGCGAAGCGAUUUGGAAGAAGUUUUCGGAUGGAAUCUGAAUUGACUGAGUGGCGGACGGGUGAGUAACGCGUGGGUAACCUGCCUCACACUGGGGGACAACAGCUGGAAACGGCUGCUAAUACCGCAUAAGCGCACAGCUUCGCAUGAAGCAGUGUGAAAAACUCCGGU